RNAcentral lists this ribosomal RNA (292 nucleotides) under Pseudomonas aeruginosa. RNAcentral's name for it is "partial 23S ribosomal RNA". It matches the Rfam family "Bacterial large subunit ribosomal RNA", at positions 1479 to 1767 of the family's 2925-position model. Lineage: Bacteria; Pseudomonadati; Pseudomonadota; Gammaproteobacteria; Pseudomonadales; Pseudomonadaceae. The record is from RNAcentral.
AGGCUAUGUUAGCCGGGCGACGGUUGUCCCGGUUUAAGCAUGUAGGCUGGUUGUCCAGGCAAAUCCGGAUAAUCAAGGCUGAGGUGUGAUGACGAGGCACUACGGUGCUGAAGUAACAAAUGCCCUGCUUCCAGGAAAAGCCUCUAAGCAUCAGGUAACAUUAAAUCGUACCCCAAACCGACACAGGUGGUCAGGUAGAGAAUACCAAGGCGCUUGAGAGAACUCGGGUGAAGGAACUAGGCAAAAUGGUGCCGUAACUUCGGGAGAAGGCACGCUGGUGUGUAGGUGAAGU